AUUGAACGCUGGCGGCAGGCCUAACACAUGCAAGUCGAACGGUAACAGGAAGAAGCUUGCUUCUUUGCUGACGAGUGGCGGACGGGUGAGUAAUGUCUGGGAAACUGCCUGAUGGAGGGGGAUAACUACUGGAAACGGUAGCUAAUACCGCAUAACGUCGCAGGACCAAAGAGGGGGACCUUCCGGCCUCUUGCCAUCGGAUGUGCCCAGAUGGGAUUAGCUAGUAGGUGGGGUAACGGCUCACCUAGGCGACGAUCCCUAGCUGGUCUGAGAGGAUGACCAGCCACACUGGAACUGAGACACGGUCCAGACUCCUACGGGAGGCAGCAGUGGGGAAUAUUGCACAAUGGGCGCAAGCCUGAUGCAGCCAUGCGGCGUGUAUGAAGAAGGCCUUCGGGUUGUAAAGUACUUUCAGCGGGGAGGAAGGGAGUAAAGUUAAUACCUUUGCUCAUUGACGUUACCCGCAGAAGAAGCACCGGCUAACUCCGUG
RNAcentral lists this ribosomal RNA (490 nucleotides) under uncultured bacterium. Its description in RNAcentral is "partial 16S ribosomal RNA". It matches the Rfam family "Bacterial small subunit ribosomal RNA", at positions 30 to 507 of the family's 1533-position model. The record is from RNAcentral.